Molecule: ribosomal RNA, 600 nt
Filed under: uncultured bacterium
Lineage: Bacteria
Description: bacterial SSU rRNA
Rfam family: Bacterial small subunit ribosomal RNA
Source: RNAcentral
GCAGGGGCAACCUUGUGAGUAAAGUGGCGUACGGGUGAGUAACACGUGGGUGAUCUACCUCUUAGUGUGGAAUAACCCUGGGAAACCGGGGCUAAUACCGCAUAAUCCCGAGAGGGGAAAGCAGCAAUGCGCUGAGAGAGGAGCCCGCGGCCGAUUAGCUAGUUGGCAGGGUAAAAGCCUACCAAGGCGAAGAUCGGUAGCCGGCCUGAGAGGGCACACGGCCACACUGGCACUGAAACACGGGCCAGACUCCUACGGGAGGCAGCAGUGGGGAAUCUUGCACAAUGGGGGAAACCCUGAUGCAGCGACGCCGCGUGAGCGAUGAAGCCCUUCGGGGUGUAAAGCUCUUUCGGCAGGGAAGAUGAUGACGGUACCUGCAGAAGCAGCUGCGGCUAACUACGUGCCAGCAGCCGCGGUAAUACGUAGGCAGCAAGCGUUGUUCGGAGUUACUGGGCGUAAAGGGUGUGUAGGCGGUCGUUUAAGUUUGGUGUGAAAUCUCCCGGCUCAACUGGGAGGGUGCGCCGAAUACUGAGCGGCUAGAGUGCGGGAGAGGAGAGUGGAAUUCCUGGUGUAGCGGUGAAAUGCGUAGAUAUCAGGAGG